This 465-nucleotide ribosomal RNA is filed under the name uncultured bacterium. Its description in RNAcentral is "partial 16S ribosomal RNA". It matches the Rfam family "Bacterial small subunit ribosomal RNA", at positions 28 to 507 of the family's 1533-position model. The record is from RNAcentral.
GAUGAACGCUGGCGGCGUGCUUAACACAUGCAAGUCGAACGGAAAGGCUCCUGCUUGCAGGGGUACUCGAGUGGCGAACGGGUGAGUAACACGUGGGUGAUCUGCCCUGCACUUCGGGAUAAGCCUGGGAAACUGGGUCUAAUACCGGAUAGGACCACAUUUUGGAUGGUGUGGUGGAAAGUUUUUCGGUGUGGGAUGAGCUCGCGGCCUACCAGCUUGUUGGUGGGGUAAUGGCCUACCAAGGCGUCGACGGGUAGCCGGCCUGAGAGGGUGUACGGCCACAUUGGGACUGAGAUACGGCCCAGACUCCUACGGGAGGCAGCAGUGGGGAAUAUUGCACAAUGGGCGCAAGCCUGAUGCAGCGACGCCGCGUGGGGGAUGACGGCCUUCGGGUUGUAAACUCCUUUCGCUAGGGACGAAGCGCAAGUGACGGUACCUGGAGAAGAAGCACCGGCUAACUACGUG